UGGUUCACCGUUUUCUCAUUUUAAUACCUUUUAAACUGUAUCACUUUAUUACCUUGUGAUUUCAUUUUUCUCUUUUCGUUAUCCACUAUAUUAAUUUUUUUUGUUAAAUUAAUUAGAAAGUUAAAACUAUAGAAUAUUAAAGUAAAAAUUUUGUAAACCACAUGAUAUUAAAAUGAAUAUUCGAUAAACCAUAUGAAGUAUUUAAAGUUUUUUUUUCUAUAUAUUUUAACGGAGAUAUAGUUAACAGAGAAAAUACUGAAAAGAGAAAAAUAAAAUAAUAGAGUACUAAGGUAAUCCACUUUAAACCUCCGGGUACUAAAAUGAGAAAGCGUUAAAGCACAUGUGGGAUAUUUG
Molecule: long non-coding RNA, 354 nt
Filed under: Ananas comosus (pineapple)
Lineage: Eukaryota; Viridiplantae; Streptophyta; Magnoliopsida; Poales; Bromeliaceae
Description: long non-coding RNA (ACOM_LNC000358)
Source: RNAcentral